RNAcentral lists this unclassified non-coding RNA (283 nucleotides) under Hevea brasiliensis (rubber tree). Lineage: Eukaryota; Viridiplantae; Streptophyta; Magnoliopsida; Malpighiales; Euphorbiaceae. The record is from RNAcentral.
GCUUCUUACAUUGGAAGAUUCGUCCGCACAGAAUAUUACAUAUAGUAAAAGAUUAGUCCUAAAUAUGCUAUGAGCCCUGCAGGAGGAGAAGCGUCCUAUUAACCGACGACCACCAUAUCUAGAUCCGGCCCCACCAACACAUGUUUUUGGGAGUUGUUAGAAGAUCCAUCGAUUGUGCAAUCAUAGCAACAGCAGAGAAAGCAUAGGGGUGGACAAGUAAGACAAAGGGAGCCAUCUAAUCCGUCUACAACACCAAUAACUGAAGCAGUGCCACACCCUAUAU